GACUCUGUAGCUCAGUUGGUAGAGCAAUUGACUCUUAAUCAAUCGGUCGAGAGUUCGAGCCUCUCCGGGGUCA
RNAcentral lists this transfer RNA (73 nucleotides) under Bacteroidales bacterium. RNAcentral's name for it is "tRNA-Lys". It matches the Rfam family "tRNA". Rfam says of the family: Transfer RNA (tRNA) molecules are approximately 80 nucleotides in length. Their secondary structure includes four short double-helical elements and three loops (D, anti-codon, and T loops). Further hydrogen bonds mediate the characteristic L-shaped molecular structure. tRNAs have two regions of fundamental functional importance: the anti-codon, which is responsible for specific mRNA codon recognition, and the 3' end, to which the tRNAs corresponding amino acid is attached (by aminoacyl-tRNA synthetases). tRNAs cope with the degeneracy of the genetic code in two manners: having more than one tRNA (with a specific anti-codon) for a particular amino acid; and 'wobble' base-pairing, i.e. permitting non-standard base-pairing at the 3rd anti-codon position. The record is from RNAcentral. Lineage: Bacteria; Pseudomonadati; Bacteroidota; Bacteroidia; Bacteroidales.